Molecule: ribosomal RNA, 301 nt
Filed under: uncultured bacterium
Lineage: Bacteria
Description: partial 16S ribosomal RNA
Rfam family: Bacterial small subunit ribosomal RNA
Source: RNAcentral
CAGCAGCCGCGGUAAUACGUAGGGUGCAAGCGUUAAUCGGAAUUACUGGGCGUAAAGCGUGCGCAGGCGGUCCGCUAAGACAGAUGUGAAAUCCCCGGGCUUAACCUGGGAACUGCAUUUGUGACUGGCGGGCUAGAGUAUGGCAGAGGGGGGUAGAAUUCCACGUGUAGCAGUGAAGUGCGUAGAGAUGUGGAGGAAUACCGAUGGCGAAGGCAGCCCCCUGGGCCAAUACUGACGCUCAUGCACGAAAGCGUGGGGAGCAAACAGGAUUAGAUACCCGCGUAGUCCCUGUCUCUUAUAC